UAAUCUGAAUUUUUCAAAGCUGGCAGAAUUGUACUUGAUUUCUGAAUGAAGAGAAAAGGAGGAAGAACUGUUCCCUGAGCAGAAAUAUCUGUUUCCUGAGGAGCCCCGUGUGCUGAAGACAACCAUGUCAGACUGACAGUCCUUGGUCCUCACAUAGAUGUGGUUCUUCAGCAAUAACUGAAUGUUUGACCUGUAUGUACAGUAUAUCGCUCUUUCUCCAGUUGGAGGCGGUAUAAAGCAGGUUUCUCUUCAUCAUCCACCCCCACACACAAAACCAGACAAACAAUGCCACAAAAGCAGAAACCAGCAACCCCACAUUGUCACUUUAAAAAGAGGUUUUCCUGUCUUAGGUUUCAUUGAGAAGAACAAACAAGCGCCAGAAGACAAUGUGCCAUCAGAUGUCUGAACAUGAGCAAAACUCAAAGAUGAAGAUAUGUGAACUUACGAUCAUCAUCCUCAUACUUUUACUUCCAAUCAAAGGUGCAACAGUUACUCCAAUUUCUGUGCUGCUGGGAAAGCCCUUUGUCUUUCAUCUGCCAAAUGUACCGGAUAGAUUCAAAAUCAACUUCAUUGAAUGGAAACAAGCAAAUAAACUUUUGGCUACUAUUGAACCUAAUAAAGAACCUGUGCUAUUUGCCAUUCAGACUAGAAUUAAAUUCAUGAACAAUGGAUCAAUGUUCAUCAAAGAUUUCCAGCGUGAAGAUGCUGGGAAUUACACUUGCAAGAUCAUUUCCCAAAAUGGUGAAACUGAAACACACGUUGUCUCCUUGACUCCAUACUCAG
Molecule: long non-coding RNA, 783 nt
Organism: Astyanax mexicanus (Mexican tetra)
Lineage: Eukaryota; Metazoa; Chordata; Actinopteri; Characiformes; Acestrorhamphidae
Exons: 2
Source: RefSeq, a predicted model, not a curated record